Molecule: ribosomal RNA, 253 nt
Filed under: uncultured bacterium
Lineage: Bacteria
Description: partial 16S ribosomal RNA
Rfam family: Bacterial small subunit ribosomal RNA
Source: RNAcentral
UACGUAGGGGGCAAGCGUUGCCCGGAUUUAUUGGGCGUAAAGCGCUCGCAGGUGGUUCGUCGCGUCGUGCGUGAAAGACCCCGGCUCAACUGGGGGAGGUCGUGCGAUACGGGCGGACUGGAGGCCAGUAGGGGGAUGCGGAAUUCCGGGUGUAGUGGUGGAAUGCGUAGAGAUCCGGAGGAACACCAGCGGCGAAGGCGGCAUCCUGGACUGGUCCUGACACUCAUGAGCGAAAGCGUGGGGAGCGAUCCGG